GUUUUAAUUUGAUCAUGGCUCAGAUUGCACGCUGGCUGGCAUGCCUUACACAUGCAAGUCGAACGGUAACAGGUCUUCGGACGCUGACGAGUGGCGAACGGGUGAGUAAUACAUCGGAACGUGCCCAGUCGUGGGGGAUAACUACUCGAAAGAGUAGCUAAUACCGCAUACGAUCUGAGGAUGAAAGCGGGGGACCUUCGGGCCUCGCGCGAUUGGAGCGGCCGAUGGUAGAUUAGGUAGUUGGUGGGAUAAAAGCUUACCAAGCCGACGAUCUGUAGCUGGUCUGAGAGGACGACCAGCCACACUGGGACUGAGACACGGCCCAGACUCCUACGGGGGAGGGCAGCAGUGGGGGGGGAAAUUUUGGACAAUGGGCGAGCCUGAUCCAUGCUGGUGCUUUGUUGG
Molecule: ribosomal RNA, 405 nt
Filed under: uncultured bacterium
Lineage: Bacteria
Description: bacterial SSU rRNA
Rfam family: Bacterial small subunit ribosomal RNA
Source: RNAcentral